GAUGAAGAACGUAGCGAAAUGCGAUAAGUAAUGUGAAUUGCAGAAUUCAGUGAAUCAUCGAAUCUUUGAACGCACAUUGCGCCCCCUGGUAUUCCGGGGGGCAUGCCUGUUCGAGCGUCAUUUCACCACUCAAGCCUCGCUUGGUAUUGGGCAACGCGGUCCGCCGCGUGCCUCAAAUCGUCCGGCUGGGUCUUCUGUCCCCUAAGCGUUGUGGAAACUAUUCGCUAAAGGGUGUUCGGGAGGCUACGCCGUAAAACAACCCCAUUUCUAAGGUUGACCUCGGACCAGGUAGGGAUACCCGCUGAACUUAAGCAUAUCAAUAAGCGGAGGA
RNAcentral lists this unclassified non-coding RNA (331 nucleotides) under soil metagenome. RNAcentral describes it as "partial contains 5.8S ribosomal RNA, internal transcribed spacer 2, and large subunit ribosomal RNA". The stretch from base 1 to 120 matches the Rfam family "5.8S ribosomal RNA", at positions 35 to 154 of the family's 154-position model. The record is from RNAcentral.